This is a long non-coding RNA of Triticum dicoccoides, 1450 nucleotides long. RefSeq lists it as uncharacterized. The transcript is spliced from 4 exons. Lineage: Eukaryota; Viridiplantae; Streptophyta; Magnoliopsida; Poales; Poaceae. The record is from RefSeq and is a predicted model, not a curated record.
AAUCCUCAUGCUAAUUAGGGAAUAGAAUUAGCACCCUAGCAUUUUGUUUUCCUACUCGAUUAGACAGUGCUCCUUGAUCUGAAUGACAGGGGAGCUCAGCUCAAUUAGGUUGGCUUUUGUGAUGUUAUCCAAUUGCGUGUAGAAAUCCCAUCUUUAUGCUCCGAAAAACUUACUACUGAUACUCUGAAAGACAACAAUAUAUAUUAGUGUUCUUAGAUAAUUGCGCACUUGAGCGUUUGUGCUCUAAGUUGAUUUACCAGAUGACACCAUCAGUCUCGGCUGAUUUUGCAGCUUCAUUCAUGCCUUCCACUUGGCAUUGAUCUGUCUCCAGUCUCCACUGCAUUUCACUAGCAGCAGUUUUCACCUUUUGAGGUCUGAGCUAUCAAAUAUUCGAAUGCCUUUUCUGGCUAAUCCAAUAUCCCAGGAGUAUCACCAUGUUUACACAUUUAGAAGAUUUUUGCAGUUAGACGAUUCCCGAGAGAGCAAAGAGUAAGUUGAGAGAGAUGGAGAGAGCACAGAAGGGAAGGAGAAAGGAAUAGGGAGGCGCGGCGGUGGUUGGUUCUCCGGCGGCACUGGAUCGGGCACGGGCGCAGAGCUCCUGCUCGGGGACGCAAAGAUCCAGGGAGGCACUCUCCCAUUCAGUUACCCUUACUAUCGGUUCCUACGUGCAGCCCCGGCCGCCAUAGCCUGAACGGCGCGGACGUGUGCUUCUCCCCAGGGAGGGCCAUGCCGCUGCAGAUGAAAGUGAAUCCCCUUCCGAGCCGGCGGACAUGACAUGGUUGGUUUCACAGGAUUGACUCGGCUACCUAUAGAAGUGCCACCAAUCUGAACCAAGCUGUUGCGUCAAGCGACGGGCGCGACACGCACCUCCAACCAACGCUUUCUCCGGUGAUCCCCGGCCACGAGCACGUCUAUCCCCUACAAGCCGCUACCGGUGCUCCCUCUCCGCUAGAUGCGGCAAGGUCGUGCGAGUGUUCUGUAGCUCGGCGCUGCACCAUGGGACAGGAUCGUCGCCCUCCUGGCCACAGCCGCAAACUUCGUGUCUGGCCUGCUUAUCCUCACCACUUUCAGAAUCGGAGGCAGUGCGUGACUGGUGACCAGUGUCCGACUUUGAUCGUCGACGCUGAUGAUGGAUUCAAGCACUCCACCAUAUUCUUGGCUACAUCAUCAGGAUUCACACCUCGUCAGAUCCGAGAUCUUUGAUUUCCUGCUGUUUGGAAGGGAUCCAUUAGUCGCCGCUGUUCAACUUAGAUGUAACACAAUCUGUAAAAUCUGUAAAGGUCCAUUAUUGCCAUUCAGAGACUCCAUCAUGGAGUAAUUUUUGCGUAACCUCUAGGUUAAUUUUUUAUGUGGUCGGCAUAACACCUAAUUCAUAAUGAUGUAAUUUUAAAUAAGUUAUAAGGUUUAAGAGAAAUCUUAUACCAAUAAAGAAAAUAAUCGGGUUGGUCAA